Molecule: ribosomal RNA, 257 nt
Filed under: uncultured eukaryote
Lineage: Eukaryota
Description: partial large subunit ribosomal RNA
Rfam family: Eukaryotic large subunit ribosomal RNA
Source: RNAcentral
AUAUAACUAAGCGGUGGAAAAGAAACCAAAAGGGAUUCCGAUAGUAACGGCGAGCGAACUCGGAACAGCUCAGCGCCAAGUCCCGUCGUCAGCAGGCGUACGGGAGAUGCGGGCGUGAAUGUAGCAGUGCAUCGUGCUUUGCCUGUGUAACGCAAGUUCCUCUGACAAGGACUUUUUCCAUAGCGGGUGCUAGGCCCAUAGCGGUUACAAGGCUAUUGCGCGCAUACUGUUGCAUGCUAGAGUCAGGUUGUUGGAAA